UGGGGAAUAUUGGACAAUGGGCGAAAGCCUGAUCCAGCCAUGCCGCGUGUGUGAAGAAGGUCUUCGGAUUGUAAAGCACUUUAAGUUGGGAGGAAGGGCCAUUACCUAAUACGUGAUGGUUUUGACGUUACCGACAGAAUAAGCACCGGCUAACUCUGUGCCAGCAGCCGCGGUAAUACAGAGGGUGCAAGCGUUAAUCGGAAUUACUGGGCGUAAAGCGCGCGUAGGUGGUUAGUUAAGUUGGAUGUGAAAUCCCCGGGCUCAACCUGGGAACUGCAUUCAAAACUGACUGACUAGAGUAUGGUAGAGGGUGGUGGAAUUUCCUGUGUAGCGGUGAAAUGCGUAGAUAUAGGAAGGAACACCAGUGGCGAAGGCGACCACCUGGACUGAUACUGACACUGAGGUGCGAAAGCGUGGGGAGCAAACAGGAUUAGAUACCCGAGUAGUCCCUGAGCGGGCUGGCAAGGCGCAU
RNAcentral lists this ribosomal RNA (472 nucleotides) under uncultured bacterium. Its description in RNAcentral is "bacterial SSU rRNA". It matches the Rfam family "Bacterial small subunit ribosomal RNA", at positions 355 to 825 of the family's 1533-position model. The record is from RNAcentral.